Molecule: ribosomal RNA, 253 nt
Filed under: uncultured bacterium
Lineage: Bacteria
Description: partial 16S ribosomal RNA
Rfam family: Bacterial small subunit ribosomal RNA
Source: RNAcentral
UACGUAGGGACCGAGCGUUGUCCGGAUUCAUUGGGCGUAAAGAGCUCGUAGGCGGCCACUCAAGUCGAAUGUGAAACCUCGAGGCUUAACCUCGAGCCUGCAUUCGAUACUGGGCGGCUAGAGUCUGGUAGGGGGAUCUGGAAUUCCUGGUGUAGCGGUGAAAUGCGCAGAUAUCAGGAGGAACACCGGUGGCGAAGGCGGGUCUCUGGGCCGAUAUUGACGCUGAGGAGCGAAAGCGUGGGGAGCGAACAGG